RNAcentral lists this ribosomal RNA (466 nucleotides) under uncultured bacterium. Its description in RNAcentral is "partial 16S ribosomal RNA". It matches the Rfam family "Bacterial small subunit ribosomal RNA", at positions 28 to 507 of the family's 1533-position model. The record is from RNAcentral.
GAUGAACGCUGGCGGCGUGCUUAAUACAUGCAAGUCGAACGAUGAAACCCAGCUUGCUGGGUGGAUUAGUGGCGAACGGGUGAGUAACACGUGAGUAACCUGCCCUUGACUCUGGGAUAAGCCUGGGAAACUGGGUCUAAUACUGGAUAUGACUUCUCAUCGCAUGGUGGGGGGUGGAAAGAUUUAUUGGUCUUGGAUGGACUCGCGGCCUAUCAGCUUGUUGGUGAGGUAAUGGCUCACCAAGGCGACGACGGGUAGCCGGCCUGAGAGGGUGACCGGCCACACUGGGACUGAGACACGGCCCAGACUCCUACGGGAGGCAGCAGUGGGGAAUAUUGCACAAUGGGCGCAAGCCUGAUGCAGCGACGCCGCGUGAGGGAUGACGGCCUUCGGGUUGUAAACCUCUUUCAGUAGGGAAGAAGCGAGAGUGACGGUACCUGCAGAAGAAGCGCCGGCUAACUACGUG